This 669-nucleotide long non-coding RNA is filed under the name Brassica rapa (field mustard). Its description in RNAcentral is "long non-coding RNA (BRAP_LNC001002)". The record is from RNAcentral. Lineage: Eukaryota; Viridiplantae; Streptophyta; Magnoliopsida; Brassicales; Brassicaceae.
UGGAUAAUGUAUAGUUGGGACUUCCGAACCAAAAUAACCGGAACCGAAGAACCGAACCGGAACCGAACCGAAAUACCCGAAACCAGAACCGGAUCAAUAUCUUCAAAUACCCGAACGGUUCCUAUAUUUUUAUAUCCGAAAUAACCAAACCGAACCGGAACCAAACCGAGAACCGAACGGGUACCCGAAUAUAUAAAAAUAUUCAUUAUAUAUACAUAUAACAUCACUAAAUAUAUAUUUUUAAUUUAAAAUUCUAUUAAAGUAUCUGAAAAUAGUUGAGUAUAACUAAAUUAUUAUAAAGUAUCCAAACUACCCGAAAGUAUCCGGAUAGUUUUAUCCGAAAUAUCCAAAGUAAUCCAAGAUAUCCAAAAUUUUUUAUCUAAAUCAUCCUAAUUAUUUGAUAUUUUACCUUAAAUAACCGAUAUUUUAUCCAAAUUAUCCGAACUACCCAAACUAUCCGAACCCGAACCGGAUCCAAAUGAGAACCGAACUUUUUCCGGAUAUUUUCCGGUUCCUGCAUUUACUAUCCGAACCGAACCGAACCCGAAACUACCCGAACCGAACCGAAUCAAAAAUAGGUCAAGUACUAAAUGGAUCAUCUAGCCCCUAUCCAAACUAUCCGAAACCCGAAAUACCUGAAUCGAACCGAACCGAUGCCCAAAAUGCCCA